AUUGAACGCUGGCGGCAUGCCUUACACAUGCAAGUCGAACGGUAACAGGUUAAGCUGACGAGUGGCGAACGGGUGAGUAAUACAUCGGAACGUGCCCAGUAGUGGGGGAUAGCCCGGCGAAAGCCGGAUUAAUACCGCAUACGACCUAAGGGGGAAAGGGGGGGAUCGCAAGACCUCUCGCUAUUGGAGCGGCCGAUGUCAGAUUAGCUAGUUGGUGGGGUAAAAGCUCACCAAGGCGACGAUCUGUAGCUGGUCUGAGAGGACGACCAGCCACACUGGGACUGAGACACGGCCCAGACUCCUACGGGGGGCAGCAGUGGGGAAUUUUGGACAAUGGGCGCAAGCCUGAUCCAGCCAUGCCGCGUGCGGGAAGAAGGCCUUCGGGUUGUAAACCGCUUUUGUCAGGGAAGAAAUCCUUUGGGUUAAUACCUCGGGGGGAUGACGGUACCUGAAGAAUAAGCACCGGCUAACUACGUG
Molecule: ribosomal RNA, 477 nt
Filed under: uncultured bacterium
Lineage: Bacteria
Description: partial 16S ribosomal RNA
Rfam family: Bacterial small subunit ribosomal RNA
Source: RNAcentral